Molecule: ribosomal RNA, 437 nt
Filed under: uncultured bacterium
Lineage: Bacteria
Description: partial 16S ribosomal RNA
Rfam family: Bacterial small subunit ribosomal RNA
Source: RNAcentral
UGGGGAAUUUUGGACAAUGGGCGAAAGCCUGAUCCAGCAAUGCCGCGUGUGUGAAGAAGGCCUUCGGGUUGUAAAGCACUUUUGUCCGGAAAGAAAUGGCUCUGGUUAAUACCUGGGGUCGAUGACGGUACCGGAAGAAUAAGGACCGGCUAACUACGUGCCAGCAGCCGCGGUAAUACGUAGGGUCCAAGCGUUAAUCGGAAUUACUGGGCGUAAAGCGUGCGCAGGCGGUUGUGCAAGACCGAUGUGAAAUCCCCGAGCUUAACUUGGGAAUUGCAUUGGUGACUGCACGGCUAGAGUGUGUCAGAGGGGGGUAGAAUUCCACGUGUAGCAGUGAAAUGCGUAGAGAUGUGGAGGAAUACCGAUGGCGAAGGCAGCCCCCUGGGAUAACACUGACGCUCAUGCACGAAAGCGUGGGGAGCAAACAGGAUUAGAUA